GCUAUGUAGCUCAGUUGGUUAGAGCAUCGCACUCAUAAUGCGGAGGUCACAGGUCCGAGUCCCGUCAUAGCC
This 72-nucleotide transfer RNA is filed under the name bovine gut metagenome. It matches the Rfam family "tRNA". Rfam says of the family: Transfer RNA (tRNA) molecules are approximately 80 nucleotides in length. The record is from RNAcentral.